UAUUCCACGCCCUAAACGAUGAGUGCUUGCUAUUAGGAGAAGUCAAUCUCUCUUAGUGGCAAAAGCUAACGCUAUAAGCACUCCGCCUCUAGAGUACGGCCGCAAGGCUAAAACAGAAAGGAAUUGACGGGAACCCGCACAAGCGGUGGAUCAUGCGGCUUAAUUCGAAUCUAAGCGGGGAACCUCACCUAGAUUUGACAUGUAACUGCAAAUCCUAUGAAAAUAGGACUUCUUCGAGAGUGUUACACAGAUGAUGCACGGUCGUCGUCAGCUCGUGUCGUGAGAUGUUCGGUUAAGUCCGAAAACGAGCGCAACCCCAAUCCUUAGUUAUUUAAUGUCUAAGGAGACUGCCCGGGAUUAACCGGGAGGAAGGCUGGGAUGACGUCAGAUCAGCGUGUCUCUUACAUCUAGGGGCUGCACGCAUGAUACAAUGGGGUAUGGGUACAAC
Molecule: ribosomal RNA, 448 nt
Filed under: uncultured bacterium
Lineage: Bacteria
Description: bacterial SSU rRNA
Rfam family: Bacterial small subunit ribosomal RNA
Source: RNAcentral